UGGUUUAAUUCGAUGAUACGCGAGGAACCUUACCCGGGCUUGAAUUGCAGAGGAAGGAUUUGGAGACAAUGACGCCCUUCGGGGUCUCUGUGAAGGUGCUGCAUGGUUGUCGUCAGCUCGUGCCGUGAGGUGUCGGCUUAAGUGCCAUAACGAGCGCAACCCCUCUCCUUAGUUGCCAUCAGGUCAUGCUGGGCACUCUGGGGACACUGCCACCGUAAGGUGUGA
Molecule: ribosomal RNA, 225 nt
Filed under: uncultured bacterium
Lineage: Bacteria
Description: partial 16S ribosomal RNA
Rfam family: Bacterial small subunit ribosomal RNA
Source: RNAcentral